AUUGAACGCUGGCGGCAGGCUUAACACAUGCAAGUCGAGCGGGGUGAUGGUGCUUGCACUAUCACUUAGCGGCGGACGGGUGAGUAAUGCUUAGGAAUCUGCCUAUUAGUGGGGGACAACAUCUCGAAAGGGAUGCUAAUACCGCAUACGUCCUACGGGAGAAAGCAGGGGAUCACUUGUGACCUUGCGCUAAUAGAUGAGCCUAAGUCGGAUUAGCUAGUUGGGGGGGUAAAGGCCUACCAAGGCGACGAUCUGUAGCGGGUCUGAGAGGAUGAUCCGCCACACUGGGACUGAGACACGGACCAGACUCCUGCGGGAGGCAGCAGUGGGGAAUAUUGGACAAUGGGGGGAACCCUGAUCCAGCCAUGCCGCGUGUGUGAAGAAGGCCUUAUGGUUGUAAAGCACUUUAAGCGAGGAGGAGGCUCUUUUGGUUAAUACCCAAGAUGAGUGGACGUUACUCGCAGAAUAAGCACCGGCUAACUCUGUGCCAGCCGCCGCGGUAA
RNAcentral lists this ribosomal RNA (503 nucleotides) under uncultured bacterium. Its description in RNAcentral is "partial 16S ribosomal RNA". It matches the Rfam family "Bacterial small subunit ribosomal RNA", at positions 30 to 523 of the family's 1533-position model. The record is from RNAcentral.